Sphingobacteriales bacterium 44-61 is the source of this 103-nucleotide non-coding RNA. Lineage: Bacteria; Pseudomonadati; Bacteroidota; Sphingobacteriia; Sphingobacteriales. The record is from Rfam.
CAGCGUUUCCCGGGGUGUUUGCAGCCAGUAGCUGCGAUCUGAGAUUAUACCCGUAAACCUGAUCAGGGUAAUGCCUGCGCAGGGAAGGAGUCUUUCGUAUGUC